This 5896-nucleotide long non-coding RNA is filed under the name Sus scrofa (pig). RNAcentral's name for it is "lncRNA (ENSSSCG00000057029.1)". The record is from RNAcentral. Lineage: Eukaryota; Metazoa; Chordata; Mammalia; Artiodactyla; Suidae.
AUCAUUUCCAAUUAAGACCAGAAAAAAGGUUUUCACACAGGGAAUAUACAGCAAAUGUGCUCAAUGGACUGAAUCUUUCAGAAUUUCUGGUCAGUUUGCUUGUAAAUACAACCACCAAUAAAUGUUUUCCAAUGGGCUAAAAGUGCCUGCAUUUGGCUUCUGAUUUUUCUUCUCAGUUUUUAUUUGCUGUCACUUUGUAUUAAUUAUUGUCAUGUCCAUGAUAAUCAGGAGUAAUGGUUCAAGUGAAUCUAUUUUUACUAUGCAUUAUGUAUAUGGUUUCAUGCACUGUUCAACUAAUAUUGUACAUAGACUCCACGUAUUUUAACUUUAUGUUGAGAGUAGCGAAUGGGUCUCAACUUCAGGAAAGUGGAUUAUAAUUUUGUCUAUGAAUUACCUUAAAGGAUACAUAACGAAUAGGCAAAAUUGAUAAAGAAGAAAAAUUACAAAGACCAUUACCAAUUUGAAGGGUGAAAGAACAUGGAAACCUAAAAUAUAUAGUCUGGGUAGAGUAUGAUUUGAGCUCAUGGACAAUAACAAAGACACAUUUGAAAAAACUUAAAAAAUGAGUGAGAUAACUCACAGCAUGUGUACUAAUACAAAAUUAAGACUAACUGAAACAAAUAAUAACAUGAGAAUCUAAGAAAUGUGUUAAAGUUACUAAAGUUACUAAUAGAAGGUUUACUCAAAAUCCUAAAGGAUUACAUUUAAAUUGGUGAACCAUAAGAAAUAAUCAUAGAUUAUUUUAUCUGCUCUUAGGAAACUGUCUGCUAAUUUAAAACCCUUUAGUUAUUCUAUUUUCUUAUAAUUAAAAUUUACACACAAAACCACUCUAUUUUUACUUGUUAAAACUCUUUCUAGGAGUUCCCAUCAUGGCUCAGUGGUUAACAGAUCCAACUAGGAACCAUGAGGUUGCGGGUUUGGUCCCUGGCCUUGCUCGGUGGGUUGAGGAUCCGGCGUUGCUGCGAGCUGUGGUGUGGGUUGCAGACACGGCUUGGAUCCCGCAUUGCUGUGGCUGUGGUGUAGGCCAGCAGCUACAGCUCCGAUUCGACCCCUAGCCUGAGAACCCCCAUAUGCCACAGGAGCAGCCCUAGAAAUGGCAAAAAGACAAAAACAAACAAACAAAAAAAAAACUCUUUCUAAAAUCCUAGUAGUAUUUACCAUCUUAGUAAAUACCGUUAAUAAGGGUUAGUUUGUGGUUGACAAUUUACAAUCUUGAAGAUAUGCAGGACAUUAUUUUAUGUGGUAAGCAGCCAUCAGUUUUAAAAUUUGCUAUCAGGGCCUUCGCUGGUCCUUCCAAACUGAAUAUGGUAUGUGCUCCUAUGUUCCCAUGUAUAUUUAAUUUCUGUACUGAGCACCUUAUAUUCAUUCAUUUAAUUAUCCAAACAAUGAUUUACUGAGCGCCAUUCAUGGGCCUGGCAGUGUAUUGAGGUUACCACAAUGAGUAACUCAGCCUCCGUGAUUACUCCCAUGAAGCUUAGAGUCUAAAAUGAGAAAUAGAAAUUAAGUGACAAUGACAAAAAUAAUCAAUUGUAUUGCAGAUACUUGAUAGGAAUGGAAAACACAGGGAGUGAUGAGAAAAUAUAGCAACAGGUAGAAAUCUAAACUCAAAGGACAAAAAAGGCAUCCUUGGAGAAGCAAGAAGAUAAUGAGUGGGGACUAACCAGACCAAUGGAGAUGGAAGGACAUUCCUGGAAAGAGAAAGUGCAAACAAGGAAGUUCUGGGAUAAAAAGGAUCUUGGCAUGUGCAAGGCAUUGUUAGAACCAAGAGCAGCAUGGCUGGUGCGUCUGUUGAGGGGGAUGCCAAUGUGUCUAAAGAGAGGAGGAAAGGAUGUGGCUGGAAACUAGGGAGGAAGAAGGCUUGGGGUCUAAGAGUCCAGAUGAAGAAUUCAGGCUUUUACCCAGGAACAAUGGUAACCAUGAGUUAGCCAUGUAGAUGCCUGCUUCUAAGUAUUAGAAAUUGCAGGUCUUUGGUUCAUAAUCCCAGUUCCAACAUCUCAGGGAGCACCUGACACAGAGUGGGUGCUUAACACUUGUUGGAUGACUGACUGGAGAGAAUGCAUGAUCCCUUGUCUCCCCAGCCAAAGAAUAAAGAGGUUCUGAGUUACAGAGGACUCUGAUUUAAUGGGGAGAGGAGAGGGAAGAUUCCAGCCACUACUUUUUUACAACCUAUCCUUUUAAGGUGUCAUUUGAAAAUAUAAACAUUGCAAGUGAUAUCCACAGGAGCAGGUUGAGGGGCUUCCAGACAAAUGAAGUGCUCCAGAAUCAAAGCAACUAUCUGGCCAGAGCAAGAUUCCUACGAAAUCUCCCUGCAAAACUACCAAAUCACAAGCAAAAGUUCUGAGGUUAUAGAGUCAACCAACAGUCCUUCAGAAGAGUAUGAAACAGGGUGCCAGCUUAACAACACAAAAAAUAUUGAGAAGAAAAGGACAGUCUUCCAACAGUGCCCCAGGAGUGUAACAAAUGUGAUGAGGUUUAGGGCUUUGAUCAGGACCUGCUCACAGGGUGUUCUGAUCAGGGGGUGUUUUGCUUCUAUGCUUUAGUUGGCCCUUCGCUCUCUGUUGAAUUCAGGCGUGCAAAAGCCUUUUCUUUUCAAACAUGAAAACAAAAAUCUCUUGCCAUUUCAAAGUGCCCUCUCCUUUGCAGCCUACUUGGUAGUUUGCCUUUCUUUCUUUACUUUUUGAAUACGAGCUUUGAUCAUCUCACCCCCCUGCUCCACCUUCAGUGGCUUACCACUGCCUGAUGAAUAAAAUAAAAACUUCUAAGCUUGCCACAUGAUGUCCCAAACCUCGCAAAUGCCCAACAUGUUUGCCUAACCUCUUCUGACUUCCUCUCCACAUAGUCACCGUCAUCAAGCCAUUGUUUUGCUUAUUCCAUGCAAAGACAAAGGCAACCAGUUUCAUCUGUUCCUUCUUCCUUCCUUCUGUUCUUCCUCUCCUUUUCUUUUGAAUCUUACCAUCGAUUACCUCCCCAAUUAAAAUCAAGAUACCUAAAGACACAGGAGUCCUAGGACUCAAAAAAAAAAAAAAAAUCUUCCAGGUCUCUCACUGAAAGCAUUACUUUUCUUGCAUAAAGUACAAUGUUUAAAAUGUAGAUAUCUGAUCUUGCUCCCAAAUGUUGUGAGAAACAGUCUGGCAAAGCCUAGGAAUUGCAUUGCAUAUUUAGCAUCAUAUCUAGGUCUCAUUUAAAUGGUCCAAAGAUGAUACUUUGAGAAACACUGGUCUGCAGUGUUGAGUAGACUUCCUGUGUUUCAAACAGACUGGUCUUCUAAUGAAUUCUGUUUCUCUAUGGACAUGCCGAAGGCAGAAUUCAGCUGCAUACGUGUCUCUAGUGACUGGAAAAUGUUUGAGGAAAUUAAGAAGUGACAAGAAUUUUAGAGUAUAGCUCUUCAGUAGUGUGCUUGCUUUUACACAGUCUGAGGAUGCUCAUGCUCAGUGUAAUGCUUCAAUAAGAAAUGGGCAUGGGGAGGUCACACUGACAUUGGAGCAGUGUUCUGAACAAUAGACCAUUGAUUAGUACAUCUUUCUUGUGCCAGUUUAUUCUCUAAGCAACAUGUCUGUUCAUAAGAAUCCAGGUUUACUCCACAAAAAUCUUUUAAGUGUCUGCCAAUAUCCAGGCAUGGAACUGGGUGGUAGGUUUAAAACCCCAACAUUGGGAGUUCCCAUUGUGGCACAGCGGGUUAGGUACCUGACUAGUAUCCAUGAGGAUACAGGUUUGAUCCCUGACCUAACUCAAUGGGUUAAGGAUCCUGCGUUGCCGCGAGCUGUGGUAUAGGUCACAGAUGCGACUCAGAUCCUGUGUUGCUGUGGCUAUGAUGUGGGCCAGCAGCCACAGCUCCAGUUUGACCGCUAAGCCAGGAACUUCCACAUGUCCUGGGUGCAGCCCUAUAAAAACAAAAAUAAAAUCCAAACGUUGUUUUGGCUUUGUGAAAUAGACAUCCUAUGUCAUACUUUUAAAUACGAAAAUUACAUCCAGCAUCACUUAAAUGGGAAACGGGAAAGAGCAUUUUUUGGAAAACAUAAUGAUGUUGGUAGUUUCUUGGGACCUGUAAUCUAGCAUUGAAUGGAGUUUAUCAAUAAAAGCAGACAUUAAAGGAAAAUUACUCACAAAAAACCUUCUGACCCAUAAAAUCACAAUUGAUAUAUUUAAGCCAAAUCUUUUUAUCUGCUCUUUACUACAAAUGUUUUCAGAUAUCUACUUUUUAUCUGGUUAAUAUUUCACCACAAAAUAUUUUUGAUGGAUUUUAUCAAUAUUUAGUUCUUCAUUUUAUCUUUAUUCAACUUAGAAAGGUUAAUUGUAACUGUAUUAAAGGCAACUAACAUAACUGAUACAAUAGCCAAAGAAAAAUGCCUGUGCUAUUAUGAAAUAAAUAAAAAUAAAAUGGCAUCUAUAACCCUUUAGGUAGCUCUAAAAAAUAGACCUGACAUUUGAGGAAGGGGGAAGAACAACAAUGAAAUAACAUAGACAACCAUCAAAAAGCAGAAUAUCUGCAAAGCUUUAGCUCUACUUUGAAAGAGCAAGACAAAAGCCCCAAUUAUCAAAAGAUGUGUAUUGGCUUCUGUACAGAAAUAAAGGAACACGAGGAAAGACCACAUGAUAAGGGAAAAAAAAAAUGGUAAAAAGUAAGAGAAGCACAUGGUUUGGUUAGUUUACAGCAAUGACAUUAAAAUUUAUAAUGGCUCUUUUACUGAAGAUUGUACCAUCUUAAAUUGACAUCCCCAAUAGCUUUAGUGAAAUUAAAAACAUCAAAGCACAUGCAUUCUUUGUUAAUCACAUGUAAGGAAAGUAAUACCUGUGGAUAAGUAAUUGUUACAGCAAUAAAUAACCAACGUUUAAGCCAGUGUGAAAGAAGAAGAUGAGAAGAGAACAUUCCCAAUGAGAAAGGAGGUUCAUUUUGCUAUAGUCUUUCAUUUUACACAAGAGCCAACAGAGACCCAAAGACACCCAUUGACUUGCCAGGAUUGGACAUUCCAGAAAGUCUUCCCUCAGAUGACUAUGGCUGAGUGAUACCUUCAUUCAUAAAGUCUUCAGGAAUUAGAGAUAAUGCUUUCAUGAAGUAACCAUCAAUAUGUGCUGCCAUGUUUAUGCAUAUGUGAUGCUGAUUUAGGGCCCAAGAUGUUCAUUCCUUUCUUCAAUCUCUAGUUUAUUCUCCACAACAUGCUUAUCACUCCUGAUGGAGUUGGGCUCUUUCCUCUACCCUCCUGCUCCCUUUAUUCUUGUCACUUUUUUUCCCACCUUGCCUUUAUUUAUCUGUCCCCUCUCACUCCAACGUCUUUCUUUUCCUUUCUCUGUCAAUCUAGAACUCCUGACACACAUUUAGGCAUUGGGAAGAUGAGAAAAUCAGCAAGUGUGUUCACUUACACCAAGAAUCAGUGAAAUUAACACUCUUGAUGAAAAAGAGUGGUGACAAACCUUCAAGUUUUGCCAGACAUUAAAGGAAAAUUACUCAGAGAAAACCUCUCUGCCCCAUAAAGCCACCUGAUUCAUGUUUUUAACCCAAAUCUUUUUAUCUAUUCUUUACUGCAAAUAUGUUCAGACAUCUACUUUUUAAUUAGGUUAAUAUUUUCUCACAAAACAUUUUUGAUGGAUUUUGAGGGAUAUCUCUAAACGGAUGAGCUUCUGUAUUAACCCAUGACCUUGAUGAUCUCUUGAUUCAUCUAAAAAUGUUUAAGUGCAUCACCAGGACAGGUUCUAUCCUUUCCCUGUUAAAAUGAAUAGUUUGCUACAAACUAAAUGAUUGUCUUCCCCUUCCCCGAGAUUUGGUAGAACUUAAUUCUCGAUGAGAUGGUAUUAGGAGGUGGGACUUUAUGGAGGUGAUGAGGCAGAUGAUGCGGACAGAGUCCUCAUGAGUGGGGAUUAGCACCCUAUAAGAGAGACCAGAGAGCAGCUUGUCCCUCCU